UACGGGGGGGCAAGCGUUGUUCGGAAUUACUGGGCGUAAAGGGCUUGUAGGUGGCCAACUAAGUCAGACGUGAAAUCCCUCAGCUUAACUGGGGAACUGCGUCUGAUACUGGAUGGCUUGAGUUUGGGAGAGGGAUGCGGAAUUCCAGGUGUAGCGGUGAAAUGCGUAGAUAUCUGGAGGAACACCGGUGGCGAAGGCGGCAUCCUGGACCAACACUGACACUGAGGAGCGAAAGCCAGGGAGCAAACGGG
RNAcentral lists this ribosomal RNA (251 nucleotides) under uncultured bacterium. RNAcentral describes it as "partial 16S ribosomal RNA". It matches the Rfam family "Bacterial small subunit ribosomal RNA", at positions 524 to 776 of the family's 1533-position model. The record is from RNAcentral.